GGGUUGUGAGGUUAAGCGACUAAGCGUACACGGUGGAUGCCCUGGCAGUCAGAGGCGAUGAAGGACGUGCUAAUCUGCGAAAAGCGCCGGCGAGGUGAUAUGAACCUUUGACCCGGCGAUGUCCGAAUGGGGAAACCCAGUGCAAUCCGUUGCACUAUCGUUAACUGAAUACAUAGGUUAACGAGGCGAACCGGGGGAACUGAAACAUCUAAGUACCCCGAGGAAAAGAAAUCAACCGAGAUUCCCCCAGUAGCGGCGAGCGAACGGGGAGCAGCCCGGAGUCUGAAUCAGCUUGUGUGUUAGUGGAACGGUCUGGAAAGUCCGACGGUACAGGGUGAUAGUCCCGUACACGAAAGCACACAUGCUGUGAACUCGAAGAGUAGGGCGGGACACGUGGUAUCCUGUCUGAAUAUGGGGGGACCAUCCUCCAAGGCUAAAUACUCCUGACUGACCGAUAGUGAACCAGUACCGUGAGGGAAAGGCGAAAAGAACCCCGGCGAGGGGAGUGAAAAAGAACCUGAAACCGUGUACGUACAAGCAGUGGGAGCCUCUUUAUGGGGUGACUGCGUACCUUUUGUAUAAUGGGUCAGCGACUUAUAUUCUGUAGCAAGGUUAACCGUAUAGGGGAGCCGAAGGGAAACCGAGUCUUAACUGGGCGUUAAGUUGCAGGGUAUAGACCCGAAACCCGGUGAUCUAGCCAUGGGCAGGUUGAAGGUUGGGUAACACUAACUGGAGGACCGAACCGACUAAUGUUGAAAAAUUAGCGGAUGACCUGUGGCUGGGGGUGAAAGGCCAAUCAAACCGGGAGAUAGCUGGUUCUCCCCGAAAGCUAUUUAGGUAGCGCCUCGUGAACUCAUCUUCGGGGGUAGAGCACUGUUUCGGCUAGGGGGCCAUCCCGGCUUACCAACCCGAUGCAAACUACGAAUACCGAAGAAUGUUAUCACGGGAGACACACGGCGGGUGCUAACGUCCGUCGUGAAGAGGGAAACAACCCAGACCGCCAGCUAAGGUCCCAAAGUCAUGGUUAAGUGGGAAACGAUGUGGGAAGGCACAGACAGCCAGGAUGUUGGCUUAGAAGCAGCCAUCAUUUAAAGAAAGCGUAAUAGCUCACUGGUCGAGUCGGCCUGCGCGGAAGAUGUAACGGGGCUAAACCAUGCACCGAAGCUGCGGCAGCGACACUAUGUGUUGUUGGGUAGGGGAGCGUUCUGUAAGCCGUUGAAGGUGUCCUGUGAGGGGUGCUGGAGGUAUCAGAAGUGCGAAUGCUGACAUAAGUAACGAUAAAGCGGGUGAAAAGCCCGCUCGCCGGAAGACCAAGGGUUCCUGUCCAACGUUAAUCGGGGCAGGGUGAGUCGACCCCUAAGGCGAGGCCGAAAGGCGUAGUCGAUGGGAAACAGGUUAAUAUUCCUGUACUUGGUGUUACUGCGAAGGGGGGACGGAGAAGGCUAUGUCAGCCGGGCGACGGUUGUCCCGGUUUAAGCAUGUAGGCGGAGGUUCCAGGUAAAUCCGGUACCUUAUUAACGCUGAGGUGUGAUGACGAGGCACUACGGUGCUGAAGUGAUAAAUGCCCUGCUUCCAGGAAAAGCCUCUAAGCAUCAGGUAACACGAAAUCGUACCCCAAACCGACACAGGUGGUCAGGUAGAGAAUACCAAGGCGCUUGAGAGAACUCGGGUGAAGGAACUAGGCAAAAUGGUGCCGUAACUUCGGGAGAAGGCACGCUGAUGUGUAGGUGAAGUCCCUGCGGACGGAGCUGAAAUCAGUCGAAGAUACCAGCUGGCUGCAACUGUUUAUUAAAAACACAGCACUGUGCAAACACGAAAGUGGACGUAUACGGUGUGACGCCUGCCCGGUGCCGGAAGGUUAAUUGAUGGGGUUAGCGGCAACGCGAAGCUCUUGAUCGAAGCCCCGGUAAACGGCGGCCGUAACUAUAACGGUCCUAAGGUAGCGAAAUUCCUUGUCGGGUAAGUUCCGACCUGCACGAAUGGCGUAAUGAUGGCCAGGCUGUCUCCACCCGAGACUCAGUGAAAUUGAACUCGCUGUGAAGAUGCAGUGUACCCGCGGCAAGACGGAAAGACCCCGUGAACCUUUACUAUAGCUUGACACUGAACACUGGUCCUUGAUGUGUAGGAUAGGUGGGAGGCUUUGAAGCGUGGACGCCAGUCUGCGUGGAGCCAACCUUGAAAUACCACCCUUUAAUGGCUGGUGUUCUAACGUAGACCCGUAAUCCGGGUUGCGGACAGUGUCUGGUGGGUAGUUUGACUGGGGCGGUCUCCUCCCAAAGAGUAACGGAGGAGCACGAAGGUUGGCUAAUCCUGGUCGGACAUCAGGAGGUUAGUGCAAUGGCAUAAGCCAGCUUGACUGCGAGCGUGACGGCGCGAGCAGGUGCGAAAGCAGGUCAUAGUGAUCCGGUGGUUCUGAAUGGAAGGGCCAUCGCUCAACGGAUAAAAGGUACUCCGGGGAUAACAGGCUGAUACCGCCCAAGAGUUCAUAUCGACGGCGGUGUUUGGCACCUCGAUGUCGGCUCAUCACAUCCUGGGGCUGAAGUAGGUCCCAAGGGUAUGGCUGUUCGCCAUUUAAAGUGGUACGCGAGCUGGGUUUAGAACGUCGUGAGACAGUUCGGUCCCUAUCUGCCGUGGGCGCUGGAGAAUUGAGGGGGGCUGCUCCUAGUACGAGAGGACCGGAGUGGACGCAUCACUGGUGUUCGGGUUGUCAUGCCAAUGGCACUGCCCGGUAGCUAAAUGCGGAAAAGAUAAGUGCUGAAAGCAUCUAAGCACGAAACUUGCCCCGAGAUGAGUUCUCCCUGAGACUUUAAGUCUCCUGAAGGAACGUUGAAGACGACGACGUUGAUAGGUCGGGUGUGUAAGCGCAGCGAUGCGUUGAGCUAACCGAUACUAAUGAACCGUGAGGCUUAACCUUACAACGCCGAAGCUGUU
This 2931-nucleotide ribosomal RNA is filed under the name Enterobacter hormaechei. Its description in RNAcentral is "23S ribosomal RNA". It matches the Rfam family "Bacterial large subunit ribosomal RNA". Lineage: Bacteria; Pseudomonadati; Pseudomonadota; Gammaproteobacteria; Enterobacterales; Enterobacteriaceae. The record is from RNAcentral.